AUGCUUGCAUUAGCAGCAUAUAUAAUAAAAUUUGAAUGAUACAGGAAAAAUUAGUAUGAUCCAAGAACAAAGAUGACAUGCAAAUUCAUGAGGUAUUCAAUACUUUU
This is a small nuclear RNA of Chlorocebus sabaeus (green monkey), 107 nucleotides long. The record is from Ensembl. Lineage: Eukaryota; Metazoa; Chordata; Mammalia; Primates; Cercopithecidae.